This 838-nucleotide ribosomal RNA is filed under the name uncultured bacterium. RNAcentral's name for it is "bacterial SSU rRNA". It matches the Rfam family "Bacterial small subunit ribosomal RNA", at positions 57 to 892 of the family's 1533-position model. The record is from RNAcentral.
GCAGUCGAACGGCAGCACGGACUUCGGUCUGGUGGCGAGUGGCGAACGGGUGAGUAAUACAUCGGAACGUGCCCAGUCGUGGGGGAUAACGUAGCGAAAGUUACGCUAAUACCGCAUACGAUCUAAGGAUGAAAGCGGGGGACCGUAAGGCCUCGCGCGAUUGGAGCGGCCGAUGUCAGAUUAGGUAGUUGGUGGGGUAAAGGCUCACCAAGCCAACGAUCUGUAGCUGGUCUGAGAGGACGACCAGCCACACUGGAACUGAGACACGGUCCAGACUCCUACGGGAGGCAGCAGUGGGGAAUUUUGGACAAUGGACGCAAGUCUGAUCCAGCCAUUCCGCGUGCAGGAUGAAGGCCCUCGGGUUGUAAACUGCUUUUGUACGGAACGAAAAGGCUCUUCCUAAUACGAGGGGCUCAUGACGGUACCGUAAGAAUAAGCACCGGCUAACUACGUGCCAGCAGCCGCGGUAAUACGUAGGGUGCAAGCGUUAAUCGGAAUUACUGGGCGUAAAGCGUGCGCAGGCGGUGAUGUAAGACAGAGGUGAAAUCCCCGGGCUCAACCUGGGAACUGCCUUUGUGACUGCAUCGCUGGAGUACGGCAGAGGGGGAUGGAAUUCCGCGUGUAGCAGUGAAAUGCGUAGAUAUGCGGAGGAACACCGAUGGCGAAGGCAAUCCCCUGGGCCUGUACUGACGCUCAUGCACGAAAGCGUGGGGAGCAAACAGGAUUAGAUACCCUGGUAGUCCACGCCCUAAACGAUGUCAACUGGUUGUUGGGUCUUCACUGACUCAGUAACGAAGCUAACGCGUGAAGUUGACCGCCUGGGGAGUACGGCCGCAAG